GAAUGUGCGUCCACGAGUCGAGUAGCUGCAUCGGCCCACAUGUACUGUACGUACGGCAUGAGAAGGGCGGGUCCAUCACUGCCAGUGCUGGUAUGGUAUGUCACUAUGCUGUGUGAUGGGUUGCUCGUAUUUUCCAGCAGGACACGAAAAUGCUCUCGGCCAAGAACGGGAAAUUUCACCUUCCAUAUGAAAUGACACAGUGGAAGCCAACUUUUACAAUUAGAGGUUAGAGGACCUGCUGGGUCGGGCAACAAGAAGUAUGUGCAACAUCAAGUUGGUGGAUGGAUGUCUAGGUUACCAAGUCCACCAUAUGGUGACAGUUACCAUCAAGGGUCAGGUGCAGUCAAUGCUAGGUCAGAUUCACACAAAAGGGCUGAAACACCACCAACUGCAACAAGCGGCCCUUGCACAGUCACAGCGUCUUCCGGCUGAACCUGAGCGGCUAUUACUGAUAGGCCAGCUUCGUACAAGUGGGCCACCAACUGCAAAGAGCGGCCCUUGCGCAGUUACAGUGCUUCUGGCUGAAGCUGGGUGGCAGCAAAUGUCUGACCGAGGAAUUUGGUGGGGUUGUUUUGCGGCCCUGCCCACACUCCCCUAACAAGAACAGGAUGAGUCAUCUAGUCCCUAACCCAGUCUCCAACAGUGGGUGCAGUGCCAAAAACCCUAUUAUUGAGCUGACACUGGGCGUCACGUGUGAGAUGAUCUACCAGUCUUUUGGAGCCACGUCAUGGUUGGAGAGCACUUGAACCUUCUUUGAAGGCUACUUACGAGGAUCCUGGCUGCGAGUUUUGGAGCCAUAAUACCCUACGCUGCCCCGACCUCUUACUUUGUAGAGACCCAGACCAGAGCCCCUACAGAGCUGACAGGCUGACGCUGGAAGCCAUGCUGGAGGAGACUAGAGAUAGGCCUAAGACCAAGCUAGGCAUCUGCAAAUGCAAGAAUGCAUGGGGACAAUCGCCAACAAGUGUGACUGCCAAGGCCAUGCUGGUUUCCAGUAAAUGCUUGCGAAGGAGAUCGAGAGACCACUUGGCUUAGCUCCAGCACCCUCUGCGGCCCUCACCUGGAGACCUCUUACCCAGAGACAUAUAGACUGGAUCAUACAGGUGGAGCUAGAAGGGACCCAUGCUGGAGGGAGCCAUGCUGGAGGGGGCCUACGCUGGAGGGAGCCCACGCUGGAGGGAACCUAUGCUGGAGGGGACCCACGCUGGAGGGGACCCAUGCUGGAGGGGACCCAUGCUGGAGGGGACCCACACUGGAGGGGACCCACGCUGGAGGGAACCCACGCUGGAGGGGACCCACGCUGGAGGGGACCCACGCUGGAGGGGGCCCACGCUGGAGGGAGCCCACGCUGGAGGGAGCCCACGCUGGAGGGAGCCCACGCUGGAGGGAACCUAUGCUGGAGGGGACCCACGCUGGAGGGGACCCACGCUGGAGGGGACCCACGCUGGAGGGGACCCACGCUGGAGGGGACCCACGCUGGAGGGGAUCCACGCUGAGGGGAUCCACACUGGACGGGACCACAGGCACAAGACCAGGGGAAUGUGGUAACUGUUUACUUCUUUCUUGAAUGUAAAAAUAUAUCCUAGCUCGGUGUUGAUUUGCUUUGUUCAAGUAACAGUGGCGGAUCAGAUGGGCAGAAUGGGAAGUGCAUUCAUCUUGUCUGUUUUCCUUUUUUUUUCACUUCACUUGUGAUAUAUUCAAGGCAGAAACUUUUCACCCACAUUAAAUAGCAAGUACAAUGUGCCCUGCUUGAAUGUUCAGGUUUGCAUCCUUUAUUGGCACCCCCCUCGUUUCUGUAAAUGUUGGAUCCGCCACUGAAUAACAUAGUAAUAUUUCUUUAUAUGUUAUGUGACACAGUAUGUCAAAACCAUGCUGUAGUAUCAAAUUUCAGAAAAAAGUGGUGUUUGUAAGAGCGAAGUCUAUAGAUGUAUCUCUUAUAAGACAUAUUAAGAAAAUUACAUUGUCAUUUUGAAUGCACAACGCCAUUGUGCACGGUGAGUACAAAAUGUUCUGAUCACCUGCGCAUGUUACUCAUAUUUUCUGAAUUGAAAAAUUGAAAAAAGGUGCAGCCGAUGAGCGUCACGAACAUUUGACGCCAAGAUGCCGAGAUGCAUGUGGCAAUCUGUAGUCACAUCAUUUGAGAGAGACCUAUAUGUCACUAAUAUUGCAGUAACUGAAAAUUGACUUCUUGCCCAAAUGUGCCUGAAUUUGACAUACCACGUCACAUAUAUAUGCUCCAUCAACUGAUAUUCCUGCCGUAAUUUGUGCAAAUUAAGUUGUUUUGUACAUUAAAGGUAAAAUGUACAUUGGGGAAAAAUGACUUGGUUCUUGUGAAUUCAAAAAAAUCUGCUCAUUGAAAAGGUUCUUGAGAAACGUUUGCUCAUUGACUAAUGCUGUUUACAAUACCACAAUAUACAAAACUUGAAAGGGGUAUUCCUGCCUGAAAUCCCCAAAAUGUCAUGUUUUGUAUUGUUUACUUUUUUAAGGUCUGAUUGAAAGGAAACUAACCUUAUGUCUUACCGUCCCCUUAUGUCUUAACAUCAGAUGUGAAGGCAUAUACGCAUACGUAAAUCCUGUCCGGUCCGUUCAACGUUCAAUACACAGUGUGUGUCACAUAAACUACACAGAGCACCAACACAAAUGUUUUUUCUUACGCAUCCACAGCUUGAUUUUCGAGAACAAAAUAUUGACCCCCGAAAUUUGUUCUCGCACGGUACUUGCAAGAAUAACACAAAUGCAGCCAGUUUUUAAUGGAUGCUUGUGUGGAAGUUUAUAUUUUACUUUUACUGUUCUUGCCAUUUAAUUGUAUCCAAAAUUGUUUUGUAGCCAAGUGGGUGCAUUCCACGGGCAGUAAUGUGCCAUUAACCAUAACCCCUUGGGUAUUUUUACUAGAAAGUUUCCUGAAUCUGCCAAAAUCCAUCAGUUUUGUCAUGCAAACAAAUGUUGGUAUCCAGUGAGUCCAUCAGUAUCCACCAGUGAGCCAGGGGUUAAAUUGUUGAGAUCCUGAAUCCGUCAAAAGCCCCCCC
This is a long non-coding RNA of Patiria miniata (bat star), 3026 nucleotides long. RefSeq lists it as uncharacterized. NCBI's taxonomy places the organism in Eukaryota, Metazoa, Echinodermata, Asteroidea, Valvatida, Asterinidae. The record is from RefSeq and is a predicted model, not a curated record. The transcript has 4 exons.